CUUUACUUGGCGUCGUUUGCGUUCUUUGUCUCGAUGUGUGGUCGCCAUUUCUGUCGUGUUUGUUCUGGUUGUUUGAUCGAGAUUGUUGAAUGUUUCUAGGGGAGUUUGUUUGUGUUUGGUUGGAUAUGGUUACUUGGUUCCUGAUGUUGUUGUGGCUGUUGUUUGGGGACUUUUGGCGGUAUUUGAUGAGGAGUCUUGAUAUCUCGUGCUGGGUUUGGCUGUUUAGUGUUGGGUUGAGGCCUAGGAGAUUGGUCUUUUGAUUGAGCAGUUUAGAAGGGCAUGCUCUGUUGUUUCUUCUUCUACCUUACAAUCUUGCCAUAGCGGGCUUGUAUUGCUGUUGAAUCUUGCUAGGUGGCCAUUUAGCCUAUUGUGUCCUGUUCUUAAUCUGAAUAGGAUCCUGAUGUUUUUUCAGUUGGGUGCUUUGCUCAUCCACUGAGAGCUCGUUGGAAAUUGUGUUGCUGGGUUGUGAACUUGAGCUUUCCUGGGCUGCUAGCUUGUCCGCUAUCUCAUUGCCUUCGAUUCCUAUGUGGCUAGGGAUCCAGAAGAGGGUGAUUUUAGUCCCAGCACUUCUCAUAGCGUCAGCUGUGUGUAUGAUGGAGUGGAUGAUUGGGGUCAGUUCCAUUGCCUUCAGGAUGCCGUGGCCUUCUGCUGAGUAUAUUGAGGAGUUUCCAGCGAGUGUGUACGCUUCCUGUAUUGAGAGGCUGGGGCCUUGUAUAUAAUGCAGAGGGAGUCGAUGUCUGGUCCGUGCUUGAGUGAACCCAGCGAAGCCCUUUGUCGAAAUGGAUGUCUAGGUGUUUUGCCUCUUUUGCUUCUGGGAUCCUGGUACCUGAUAGGAAGAGGAGAGGAUCUGUUUGUUUCCUUCUUUGCCUGGUACGGGGUGAGUUUAUUUUCCGCUUCUCUCCCUUCUUCUGCAUGAAUAUGGAACUCGAUGUCAUCUGCGAAUAGAAGGGUUUGCCCUGGCUCCUUUAGUAUUGGGAAAUCGUCAAGCAUGACGGAGAAGAGGAAUGGACUCAGCGGAGAACCUUGAGGCAGGAUGUUAGGGAGAUCGGUCGAUAUGAAUCUGGGGUGUGCACUGGUUUAGCUGGUUUGCGGAUAGGGAUAAUUGUUGCUAACUUCCAACUAUCCGGGACAUAGGACGUUUCUAAUAGCUUGUUAAACAGGCCAUUCUAUUGGAGUUGCAUAGGAUUCCCCCUUUAUUAGGAUCGCAGGCAUUUCUGGCCUUCCUGGCCUCCGCGACUGCUCUUUUACAUUGCGCAUUCCACCAGAUUUGGGGUGGUUCCCUGCUGAUCUUUUUGUUCGGCUUGGAUAUGGUGAUGGAGCUUUGAUCGUUGGCUUUGAUAAGGGCAUUUUGAAUGAUUUGGUAAGUUGCUUUUGGAUCAUUUGUAGAAUAGAAGCUGCUAUUGGUGAUGGAGUUAUUUAAUGAAGUGUUCCAGGUCAACCAGUUUGCAUCUUCGAAGUUCCAGCAUGGGGGUUUGCUUAUGGAGAUUGAUGCUUUGGCUUGGAUGUUGAUGUGUAUUGGGACAUGAUCGCUACCAAUGUGGGGGCCUUUUGUUGUCUCUGCUAGUAUGCCUAGCUGGGGUGACAUGAUUGUUAAGUCUAUGGUGUAGGUUGGCAAUUGCUCUUCCGCUUUGGUUCGGCUGUCUGCAAUCCGUUUCCCAUCGGCUGUGAUGACCAUUGAAGUCACCCCCCAGGAUAAGAUUGUUUGGACGCUGUGUGAGUUGGUGGAGUUCUUCUUCGCUGCAGUUAUUCCCAUUUGGCUUCUGGCGUUGUACUGGAGGAGGGAUAUCAUUUGGUGAGUUUGCUGUUGUAACCGUAGGUGGUUUUUCUGGGGGGAUCUGGGGGUUCCUGCUUGUUUAUUUUGUUAGGCGGAGGUAGGGCUUUAUUCUGGCCUCUGGAGUCUGGCUCGACUGUCUCCAUCUCUUCUCCUUUGGUUUUAGGUACCUGCCGUAUGACAACUCUCUGGAAGCUGUGGCUUUUUGGGAGCGUACAAGUGACACCUAUAGUGCCUUUUGCUAUCGUCUUGAUGGAGAGGAGGUGUUCUUGUUGCAGGAUAGACGUGGGUCUAAUGAAGAUGUCCCCUCCUGGUGCAAUAGUCACCCCACCUUUAGCGAAUGUGCCUAGUUCGUUUUCUAGGUCUUGAAUGAUUUCACUUAUUUCUUUGGAUUUUUUUUGCUUGAAUGAACUUCCAUCACUUAGUUUUAUGAAUACAGGUGUCGGUAAAUAA
RNAcentral lists this small RNA (2224 nucleotides) under Daphnia magna. RNAcentral describes it as "uncharacterized LOC116934683, transcript variant X10". The record is from RNAcentral. Lineage: Eukaryota; Metazoa; Arthropoda; Branchiopoda; Diplostraca; Daphniidae.